UAGAUACCCUGUUAUACUAAAAUUAAAGUAAUAAUAAUCUUGAGUAGUAGUAAUUAAUUAGUUUGAAAUUCAAAGAGUUUGGCGGUAUUUUAGUCUAGUUAGAGGAACCUGUUUUGUAAACGAUACACCGCGUAAAAUUUUUCUCAUUCUGGUUGAAGCUAGUAUACCAUCAUUGUUAGAUAAUUUUAUUUAAUAAAGAAAUUAUUGUAAUUAAGAAAAUUUAAAUAUAUUAGAUCACGGUGCUGCUAAUGAGUGAGUAUAAAUGGGUUACAAUAAUUUUAAUUUAUUACGAAUUCAUAAAUGAAAUAUUAUGAUAAAGGUGGAUUUAAUAGUAAUAUAAAUUUAAUAUGUUUAUGUGAGAUUAGCUCUAGAAUAUGUACAUAUCCCCCCGUCGCACG
This 398-nucleotide ribosomal RNA is filed under the name Chelarctus cultrifer. RNAcentral describes it as "partial 12S ribosomal RNA". Lineage: Eukaryota; Metazoa; Arthropoda; Malacostraca; Decapoda; Scyllaridae. The record is from RNAcentral.